Molecule: non-coding RNA, 426 nt
Organism: Rattus norvegicus (Norway rat)
Lineage: Eukaryota; Metazoa; Chordata; Mammalia; Rodentia; Muridae
Source: the annotation of a RefSeq genome assembly
AUGAGUGUCCCGCCUGAGCUCCUGGGGUUGCUGCUGCUGUGGCUUACAGAUGCCAGAUGUGAUAUCCAGAUGACUCAGUCUCCGACCACCCUGGCAGUGUCUGUGGGAGAAAGUGUCCCCAUUACAUGUCAAGCAAGUGAGGACAUUUACAGUGAUAUACAUAAGUAUCAGCAGAAACCAGGGAAAUCUCCUCAGCACCUGAUCUAUGAUGCAACCAACUUAGAAGAUGGGGUCCCAUCGAGGUUGAGUGGCAGUGGAUCUGACACACAGUUUCCUCUUAAGAUUAACAGUUUACAGCCUGAAGAUACUGCAACCUAUUACUGUGAAAAUGGAUUAAGUACCCCUCACACAGUGAUUCAAACCAUGACAUACAACACACAGGGAAACAGAAGUGAGAACAAAGACUGCUCCAAAUGUUCCUUCUGA